AAUCACUUGUCUUUUAAAUGAAGACCUGUAUGAAAGGUAUGACGAGGGCUUAACUGUCUCCUUUUCUUAGUCAGUGAAAUUGAUCUCCCCGUGCAGAAGCGGGGAUAAAAACAUAAGACGAGAAGACCCUGUGGAGCUUGAGACGCCAGGCUGGACCCUGUUAAAAAUGUCCAUAGAACUACAAACUAAAGGGCUACCACCCUAGUGUCUUCGGUUGGGGCGACCAUGGGGAAAACAAACCCCCCACGUGGACUGAGAGUACUAACCCGCACUAUAACUCCCCUCUUAAAAAUCAGAGCCACAACUCCAAUUAACAGAAUUUCUGACCAAAAAUGAUCCGGCAAUGCCGAUCAACGGACCAAGUUACCCCAGGGAUAACAGCGCAAUCCCCUUUUAGAGCCCCUAUCGACAAGGGGGUUUACGACCUCGAUGUUGGAUCAGGACAUCCUAAUGGUGCAACCGCUAUUAAGGGUUCGUUUGUUCAACGAUUAA
RNAcentral lists this ribosomal RNA (492 nucleotides) under Citharichthys sp. WJC4829. RNAcentral's name for it is "partial 16S ribosomal RNA". It matches the Rfam family "Bacterial large subunit ribosomal RNA", at positions 1963 to 2591 of the family's 2925-position model. Lineage: Eukaryota; Metazoa; Chordata; Actinopteri; Pleuronectiformes; Cyclopsettidae. The record is from RNAcentral.